GAUGAACGCUAGCUACAGGCUUAACACAUGCAAGUCGCGGGGCAGCAUGGGGGUUGCUUGCAAUCCCCGAUGGCGACCGGCGCACGGGUGAGUAACGCGUAUCCAACCUGCCCUUCACCACGGGAUAACCCGGCGAAAGUCGGACUAAUACCGUAUGUUGUCCAUUGACGGCAUCCGAUUUGGGCGAAAGGUUUGGCGGUGAAGGAUGGGGAUGCGUCCGAUUAGCUGGACGGCGGGGUGACGGCCCACCGUGGCGACGAUCGGUAGGGGUUCUGAGAGGAAGGUCCCCCACACUGGAACUGAGACACGGUCCAGACUCCUACGGGAGGCAGCAGUGAGGAAUAUUGGUCAAUGGGCGUAAGCCUGAACCAGCCAAGUAGCGUGCAGGAUGACGGCCCUAUGGGUUGUAAACUGCUUUUAUGCGGGGAUAAAGUGGCCCACGUGUGGGUUUUUGCAGGUACCGCAUGAAUAAGGACCGGCUAAUUCCGUG
This 490-nucleotide ribosomal RNA is filed under the name uncultured bacterium. Its description in RNAcentral is "partial 16S ribosomal RNA". It matches the Rfam family "Bacterial small subunit ribosomal RNA", at positions 28 to 507 of the family's 1533-position model. The record is from RNAcentral.